GACGAACGCUGGCGGCGUGCUUAACACAUGCAAGUCGAACGGAAAGGCCUGUCCUUCCUUGUGUUGGACGGGUACUCGAGUGGCGAACGGGUGAGUAACACGUGAGUGAUCUGCCCCCAACUUGGGUAUAAGCCUGGGAAACUGGGUCUAAUUCCCGAUAGGACUGCAGGGUGGUGCCUGUGGUGGAAAACGAUUUUCUAGUGGUUGGGGAUGAGCUCGCGGCCUAUCAGCUUGUUGGUGGGGUAAUGGCCUACCAAGGCGGCGACGGGUAGCCGGCCUGGGAGGGUGGACGGCCACAUUGGGACGGAGAAACGGCCCAGACUCAUACGGGAGGCAGCAGUGGGGAAUAGUGGACAAUGGGCGGAAGCCUGAUGCAGCGACGCCGCGUGGGGGAUGACGGCCUUCGGGUAGUAAACUCCUUUCGACCGCGAGGAAGCCGCCUGGUUGGAAGGGUGGUGACGGUAGUGGUAGAAGAAGCACCGGCUAACUACGUG
RNAcentral lists this ribosomal RNA (494 nucleotides) under uncultured bacterium. RNAcentral's name for it is "partial 16S ribosomal RNA". It matches the Rfam family "Bacterial small subunit ribosomal RNA", at positions 28 to 507 of the family's 1533-position model. The record is from RNAcentral.